Molecule: ribosomal RNA, 449 nt
Filed under: uncultured bacterium
Lineage: Bacteria
Description: partial 16S ribosomal RNA
Rfam family: Bacterial small subunit ribosomal RNA
Source: RNAcentral
AGCGAACGCUGGAGGCAGGCCUAACACAUGCAAGUCGAACGGAUCCUUCGGGAUUAGUGGCGGACGGGUGAGUAACACGUGGGAACGUGCCCUUUGGUUCGGAACAACUCAGGGAAACUUGAGCUAAUACCGGAUGUGCCCUUCGGGGGAAAGAUUUAUCGCCAUUGGAGCGGCGCGCGUCUAAUUAGCUAGUUGGUGAUGUAAAGGCUCACCAAGGCGACGAGCAGUAGCUGGUCUGGGAGGAUGAUCAGCCACAUUUGGAAUGAUACACGGCCCAAACACCUACGGGAGGGAGCAGUGGGAAAUCUUGCGCAAUGGGCGAAAGCCUGACGUAGCCAAGCCGUAUGAAUGAAGAAAGUCUUAGGAUUGUAAAUUUCUUUCACCGGGGACGAUAAUGACGGGACCCAAAGAAGAAGACCCGGCUAACUUCGUGCCAGCAGCCGCCGUAA